GACAGAGGUCCCGAGCGUUAGGCGGAAUCACUGGGCUUAAAGCGUGUGUAGGCGGAUUUGUAAGUACCUUGUGAAAUCCCACAGCUUAACUGUGGAACUGCUUGGUAUACUGCUUAUCUUGGGCCACUUAGGGGUUACCGGAACAAACGGUGGAGCGGUGAAAUGCGUAGAUAUCGUUUGGAACACCAAUGGUGAAAACAGGUAACUGGGAGUGUGCCGACGCUGAGACACGAAAGCCAGGGGAGCGAACGGG
This 253-nucleotide ribosomal RNA is filed under the name uncultured bacterium. Its description in RNAcentral is "partial 16S ribosomal RNA". It matches the Rfam family "Bacterial small subunit ribosomal RNA", at positions 524 to 776 of the family's 1533-position model. The record is from RNAcentral.